UACGCAAGGACUGCAGCAAAUGGGCGA
RNAcentral lists this non-coding RNA (27 nucleotides) under Bombyx mori (domestic silkworm). The record is from RNAcentral. Lineage: Eukaryota; Metazoa; Arthropoda; Insecta; Lepidoptera; Bombycidae.